This is a long non-coding RNA of Serinus canaria (Common canary), 2661 nucleotides long. RefSeq lists it as uncharacterized. The record is from RefSeq and is a predicted model, not a curated record. Lineage: Eukaryota; Metazoa; Chordata; Aves; Passeriformes; Fringillidae. The transcript has 3 exons.
GCCGGUUCAAACGCCGGCCCCCCCCUCGCCGCAGAGGCUCACGGGACUCGUGGUUUCCCCGCCCUGGCCCACGCCACUCAAAGGCAGGAUGGCCACUGGGAGCUGGGACUACAGCUCCCGGCGUGCAUCGCGCCGGCAGGAGCUCAAUCACGGUUAUUUAUUGAUGGAAAAUCAGGAUCUCUUCAAAAUGACCAGUCAACUGAAGAAGCCAGACUGCGAACAUCUGUAUCUUCCCAUUUGAAAACCUCACCUGUUCUUGCUCCUAUAGAGUACCUGGAAACACUGACCACUCACUUUGCUGAUUGAAGAUUUCCCAGUCAGCUCUGCUGGAAGCCUGGGAUCAUGGAGAAGGAGACAGACUACAGCACUGUGCUGCAAGUAUGGGAAGAAUGGAAUUAGUUUUGUGGAGGCUGCAAGGAGCAAGCAGUCUGGUGAGUAUUCAGACAGACACUGCAUCCAGUCUGGUAGGGAGAAGUUGAAAUGAGCUUUCCAUGUUUAUGGGAACAUGGAGAUUGCUGUGCAAGGACAAGCUGAUUAAGUCUGGUAUCCUGCUUCAGACAACAAUGAAGACUGGCUGCCCGAGGAGAUGCAAGAAAUGCUGUAAUAAAACAAAGAUUUUUCCAUGCUGCAUGGACAUUUCUUGUCAUCCUACAAUAUCUAGGUCACCGGUUAAUCACAUCAACAACUAGUCCAGCAUUAGUUGGGAAGGGUGAAAGCUUUACGCUGAACUGUUCCAGUCAAUGCCCUACAUGAUUCCUCUCACUUAGCUGAAACAACAAUGAACAAAGAAUGAUACCCUCCUCAUCCUGUUCCUUCUGAAAUAUGUCAUGAACCCCAUAUUAUUAGCAAAGGUGUAGGUCCAAACGUGUCAUUAUCUCACACAGAGCACAGUAAAUAUCGUGACUAAGCAUUAACAGUGUGUCAACAAUGAUCAUCUGUAAGUCUCAUUGGCAUGCUUGCUGUGAACUGAACCAGGUUGUCAGCUGCCUUCUUCAGUGAGAAUGGAGCAACUACUCUGAAUAACCAUCUUCCAUCACUGCAUACUACAGGUAAAAAAUGCAGGUGAACAAUAGUUUAUGCACACAGAUAUGUAACUGAUUAUAUUACAAAGAAAUGCAAGAACAUGUAGCUUGUUUUACACUUUUAGGAAUUUGCAUGAAGAGAUCUCAUUACCCAGAAUCAGCAUGCAUCUAGCUUGGUGAAUACAAUAAAAAAUGGAUCCUUCAACUCACUAAUUCAGAAGCAUUUCAGAAAGAGAGUUCAGCAGCACAAGAAAGAUGUCUUAUUCCUAGAAAUCUCCAUACUCAACUGCUGUCCUGUAUCUUUCAGUGAUUCAGUAGCAAGGCAGUUAUAAUUGAGCACACACAUACCUCUGUUCGUAAACAGGAAGAAGCUGUGCAGCAGCACCAAGAUGGCUUUGGACUCUGUGAGUACCAAGGUGAGUGGUCACACCUGAUCAGGGCUGUGAGAUUGCUGUGAGAUUUGGGUAAGGUGGUCAGGGUUGCAGAGGGAAAAUCUGAAUUACCUGUAACUGUGUUGUGAUAAGAAAGGAGGAUGCACAAGGAGGAUGGUAAGCUUGGGGGGCACCUAACAAGGCAAAAGAGAGAGAAAAUAAUGCUUUAUUUCCAUUUCUUUAACUAGUAAUUGCCUUACUUUCUCCUUUAGAUUGAGUACUUUGUGUAAGAGAAAGCACUGACUGCAGCAUUGAAACACUGUUUACAGUACAUUAAUGUAUUAUUACAGAUAUUGUGUGACAUGAUUGGAGAGAGGAUGGACUAUCAACAGGUAGCCAGAAGCCUGGGGGGAGUUUCUUAAGAUUUGUGUGCUCCCGUGUUCAUCUCCCCAAAUCCAACCCAGUCUGCUUUGGGGGGGAAAAAACCCCACCAACCUGUGACUGUGCUCCAUUUAUGAAAAAAUAGUUAAAUCAGGACAAAAAUAUAAGAUCCACAUAGUUCCUGAAGGUAGGGAUUACUCAGAGGGUGUUGCUAGGGCAUCAGAUAAAAAUUUUAACAAAUGCAUGUAAAAUUUUUAUCACAAGUCUGUGUUUAGGAACCAUUGGAACUGCUUGUAUUUUCAAAAGUGUGUAAUCAUGGACAACUUCAGCUGCUCUCUUCUUCAUGCUUUUAUUUUGUGAAUGGAAUAGAGCUCAGUUGUUCAGGGUUUAUGGAAGUUUUUCUACUUGCCUGAAUUGGUAAUGAUAUCCUGACACAGACUAUCCUGAAUGGGAAAGGGACCACAAGGACCAUCCAAUGGAAUAUCCUGAUUACAGAGGGACCUACAAGGAUCACUGAAAUCUAAUUCCUGGCCCUGCACAGGAUCACCCCAAAAUCACACCAUGUGCCUGAGUGUCAUCAAAAUGCUUCCUAAACUCUGUCAUACCUGGUUCUGUGAUCAGUUCCCCCGGGAGCCUGUUCCAGUGCCCAGCCACCCUCUGGGUGAAGAACCUUUCCCUGAUAUGCAUUUUAAAACCUUUCCUGACUCAGCUUCCACAGGCCAUUCCCUCCAGUCCUGUCACUGGUCACCACAGAGAAGAAUAUCCACAAGAGACCGUAAGAUAAAUCAGCUACUUUUCCUGUCUUUAUUUGAAGUUCUUUAAAAUUAUCAAAUCUCUGCAUAUGCACAAGCUAUCAAAAUGUAAAUAAAUGAAAAUGAACAUUUUCU